GAUGUAGCGCAGUGAUAGUGUGACUGCUUGCGGCGCAGAAAGUUCCAGGUUCAAUUCCCGGUGGGUCA
This is a non-coding RNA of Phthorimaea operculella (potato tuberworm), 68 nucleotides long. NCBI's taxonomy places the organism in Eukaryota, Metazoa, Arthropoda, Insecta, Lepidoptera, Gelechiidae. The record is from the annotation of a GenBank genome assembly.